GGAUGGGUCCGACGCGGCAACGCCCUCCGAACCGGGUCAGGUCCGAGAGGAAGCAGCCCUAAGGAGGAUACGUUGGGUGCCGUCGGGUUGCCUGUCCGGG
This 100-nucleotide signal recognition particle RNA is filed under the name Chloroflexota bacterium. RNAcentral's name for it is "Chloroflexi bacterium (hydrothermal vent metagenome) signal recognition particle sRNA small type". It matches the Rfam family "Bacterial small signal recognition particle RNA". From Rfam's summary of the family: The signal recognition particle (SRP) is a universally conserved ribonucleoprotein involved in the co-translational targeting of proteins to membranes. Archaeal SRP consists of a 7S RNA and homologues of the eukaryotic SRP19 and SRP54 proteins. The record is from RNAcentral. Lineage: Bacteria; Bacillati; Chloroflexota.